RNAcentral lists this ribosomal RNA (116 nucleotides) under Klebsiella pneumoniae. The record is from RNAcentral. Lineage: Bacteria; Pseudomonadati; Pseudomonadota; Gammaproteobacteria; Enterobacterales; Enterobacteriaceae.
CCUGGCGGCACUAGCGCGGUGGUCCCACCUGACCCCAUCCCGAACUCAGAAGUGAAACGCCGUAGCGCCGAUGGUAGUGUGGGGUCUCCCCAUGUGAGAGUAGGGAACUGCCAGGC